UACGUAGGUGGCAAGCGUUGUCCGGAUUUACUGGGCGUAAAGGGCGUGCAGGCGGUCUGUUAAGUGCAGGGUGAAAGCUCCCGGCUCAACUGGGAGAGGUCCUUGCAUACUGGCGGGCUUGAGGGGGGUAGAGGAAAGUGGAAUUCCCGGUGUAGUGGUGAUAUGCGUAGAUAUCGGGAGGAACACCGGUGGCGAAGGCGGCUUUCUGGGCCCUUACUGACGCUGAGACGCGAAAGCGUGGGGAGCGAACCGG
RNAcentral lists this ribosomal RNA (253 nucleotides) under uncultured bacterium. RNAcentral's name for it is "partial 16S ribosomal RNA". It matches the Rfam family "Bacterial small subunit ribosomal RNA", at positions 524 to 776 of the family's 1533-position model. The record is from RNAcentral.